UAAAGGCACUUAUAAUAAAACAAUACUGAAAGAGAGCACAUGGACUAACUUGGGGACAGGGUUUGUGUAUACGGACUAUGGGAAUGCCAAGGUUCCAGGAGGCAAAGUUUCCUUGAAACUCUUCACCUCGUGACUGCUUUCAGGCCCUUAGGCCCACCAAGCAGACUGCACUGGAGUGGACGUAGCAAAUAUGACAAGAAGUUCCUGUGAAUUUCAGGUUCACAUGUGAGUAUUUUUUUCUUCAGGUAUUUUCUGUUGUUUGAGGUAGACAGUAUUUAUACAACCAGAAAAUAAGUCCCCCUGUUAAUGAAUUCCAAUAUGACAAGAAUCUGUUUUGCCUUUGUAGCCUUACCUUUUCUCUAGAAAUAUUACCCUGAGCUGCCAAAAGCUGAAUGAGGGUUAUUUUCAAACAUGUGAUGGUUUGUUUAUGCUCAGCCCAGAGAGUGGCACUAUUAGAAGGUGUGGCCCUGUUGGAGUAGGUGUGCCACUGUGGGUGUGGGCUUAAGACCCUCAUCCUAGCUGCCUUGAAGCCAGUCUUCCACUAGCAGCCUUCAGAUGAAGAUGUAGAACCAUGCCUGCCUGGAUGCUGCCAUGCUUCCACCUUGAUGAUAAUGGACUGAAUCUCUGAACCUGUCAGCCAGCCCCAAUUAAAUGUUGUCCUUUAUAAGACUUGCCUUGGUCAUGGUGUCUGUUCACAGCAGUAACGCCCUAACUAAGAAGGCUCAUGUGAAACAAGAAGGGAACGAAAGAGUGUGGAAAUCAUUUGCUCCCCUCCACCACCACCCACAGCCCUCCAGCCCCCCACCCCCUGCUAUUAUUUGAGCUUCAUACUUUUUCAUUGAUGAAGAAAUGUUUGCCAUUGUAGUCACUGUCUUAUGGCUGAAGCAAUACUUAUGCUCUGGCACAUGUAUGAAAUAAUCUUGCUGAUGGGAACUUUAUCUAAAGUAUCAAUAAAUGAAUUUUGAGUAGGAAAAUGUUUUGUUUUUUCCUUUGCAGAAGGCAAAAGAUGAGCAGGCCGCUUGAGGAAAAAAAUCCUGUAAGUCUUUUGGUUUAUGUCAGAGAC
Molecule: long non-coding RNA, 1063 nt
Filed under: Mus musculus (house mouse)
Lineage: Eukaryota; Metazoa; Chordata; Mammalia; Rodentia; Muridae
Description: long non-coding RNA chr11:16608372-16609435
Source: RNAcentral